This 444-nucleotide ribosomal RNA is filed under the name Triticum aestivum (bread wheat). RNAcentral's name for it is "partial small subunit ribosomal RNA". The record is from RNAcentral. Lineage: Eukaryota; Viridiplantae; Streptophyta; Magnoliopsida; Poales; Poaceae.
AUGAAAAUAAGUCUUAGGAAUGGAUUUUAUCAACUUUACGAAUUUGAGGAGACACAUAACCACAUUCUUGCUACUGGAACCAUGGCCCAAUACUUGAGAUCUCACAGAAAAGUGAUAGAUGCACAAAUAGCAGCUGCAGAGGUUGCAAAGUCUGUAGGCAUUUCAAAUAAAGCAACUAUUGAUCUUAUGGCCAAAGAAGCAUGUGGACAAGAAAACCUUGGUUUUAUCCCUCGAGACAUGAAAAAUUGUUUGUACUCAAAAAGAACAUUGCAAGCAGCGAAAGGUGAUACAGGGGGAGUGUUAGAAUACAUGGAGAAGAAGGUAGUAGAAGAUGUCAAGUUUUUUUAUUCAAUUCAAGUAGAUGAGGACGAUUUGAUAACUAAUAUAUUUUGGGCUGACUCCAAAAUGGUCUCAGACUAUGCAACUUUCGGUGAUGUUAUAAGU